AAGGGUAGCAAUACCUGAGUACAGCGGCGCGCGGGUGAGUAACACGUGGAUAUCGUGCCUGGAAGUGGGGGAUAACACCGGGAAACCGGUGCUAAUACCGCAUAAUCUGACGAGAUAUGAGGAUUUUGUCAGCAAAGGAGCAAUUCGCUUUGAGAGGGGUCCGCGUCUGAUUAGCUAGUUGGUGAGGUAAUGGCUCACCAAGGCAUCGAUCAGUAGCCGGUUUGAGAGGACGGUCGGCCACACUGGAACUGAGACACGGUCCAGACUCGUACGGGAGGCAGCAGUGGGGAAUUUUUGGCAAUGGGCGAAAGCCUGACCAAGCAACGCCGCGUGGAUGAUGAAGUAUCUCGGU
Molecule: ribosomal RNA, 352 nt
Filed under: uncultured bacterium
Lineage: Bacteria
Description: bacterial SSU rRNA
Rfam family: Bacterial small subunit ribosomal RNA
Source: RNAcentral